UACGUAGGUGACAAGCGUUGUCCGGAUUUACUGGGCGUAAAGAGCGCGCAGGCGGUCGUUCAAGUCAAGUGUGAAAGCCCCCGGCUCAACUGGGGAGGGUCAUUCGAUACUGAUCGACUCGAAGGCAGGAGAGGGAAGUGGAAUUCCCGGUGUAGUGGUGAAAUGCGUAGAUAUCGGGAGGAACACCAGUGGCGAAGGCGACUUCCUGGCCUGUUCUUGACGCUGAGGCGCGAAAGCUAGGGGAGCAAACGGG
Molecule: ribosomal RNA, 253 nt
Filed under: uncultured bacterium
Lineage: Bacteria
Description: partial 16S ribosomal RNA
Rfam family: Bacterial small subunit ribosomal RNA
Source: RNAcentral